AACGAACGCUGGCGGCAUGCCUAACACAUGCAAGUCGAACGAGAUCUUCGGGUCUAGUGGCGCACGGGUGCGUAACGCGUGGGAAUCUGCCCUUUGGUUCGGAAUAACAGUUGGAAACGACUGCUAAUACCGGAUGAUGACGAAAGUCCAAAGAUUUAUCGCCAGAGGAUGAGCCCGCGUAGGAUUAGCUAGUUGGUGUGGUAAAGGCGCACCAAGGCGACGAUCCUUAGCUGGUCUGAGAGGAUGAUCAGCCACACUGGGACUGAGGCACGGCCCAGACUCCUACGGGAGGCAGCAGUGGGGAAUAUUGGACAAUGGGCGAAAGCUUGAUCCAGCAAUGCCGCGCGAGUGAUGAAGGCCUUAGGGUUGUAAAGCUCUUUUACCCGGGAUGAUAAUGACAGUACCAGGAGAAUAAGCUCCGGCUAACUCCGUGCCAGCCGCCGCGGUAA
Molecule: ribosomal RNA, 449 nt
Filed under: uncultured bacterium
Lineage: Bacteria
Description: partial 16S ribosomal RNA
Rfam family: Bacterial small subunit ribosomal RNA
Source: RNAcentral